Molecule: ribosomal RNA, 482 nt
Filed under: uncultured bacterium
Lineage: Bacteria
Description: partial 16S ribosomal RNA
Rfam family: Bacterial small subunit ribosomal RNA
Source: RNAcentral
GACGAACGCUGGCGGCGUGCUUAACACAUGCAAGUCGAACGCUGAAGCUCAGCUUUUGUUGGGUGGAUGAGUGGCGAACGGGUGAGUAACACGUGAGUAACCUGCCCCCUUCUUUGGGAUAACGCCCGGAAACGGGUGCUAAUACUGGAUAUUCACUGGUCUUCGCAUGGGGGUUGGUGGAAAGGGUUUUUCUGGUGGGGGAUGGGCUCGCGGCCUAUCAGCUUGUUGGUGGGGUGAUGGCCUACCAAGGCUUUGACGGGUAGCCGGCCUGAGAGGGUGACCGGUCACAUUGGGACUGAGAUACGGCCCAGAAUCCUACGGGAGGCGGCAGUGGGGAAUAUUGCACAAUGGGCGCAAGCCUGAUGCAGCGACGCCGCGUGAGGGAUGGAGGCCUUCGGGUUGUGAACCUCUUUCGCUCAUGGUCAAGCCGCAACAAUGGUUGUGGUGAGGGUAGUGGGUAAAGAAGCGCCGGCUAACUACGU